UCUAGUAACUUACUGCUUUAAGAGUCACC
RNAcentral lists this non-coding RNA (29 nucleotides) under Mus musculus (house mouse). The record is from RNAcentral. Lineage: Eukaryota; Metazoa; Chordata; Mammalia; Rodentia; Muridae.